RNAcentral lists this ribosomal RNA (331 nucleotides) under uncultured bacterium. Its description in RNAcentral is "partial 16S ribosomal RNA". It matches the Rfam family "Bacterial small subunit ribosomal RNA", at positions 338 to 684 of the family's 1533-position model. The record is from RNAcentral.
CCUACGGGAGGCAGCAGUCGAGAAGCAUUCACAAUGGGGGAAACCCUGAUGGGGCGACGCCGCGUGGGGGAAUGAAGGUCUGCGGAUUGUAAACUUCUGUUCUGAGUGAAGAAGAAUGACGGUAGCUAAGGAGCAAGCCACGGCUAACGACGUGCCAGCAGCCGCGGUAAUACGGAGGUGGCAAGCGGUGUCCGGAAUUACUGGGUGGAAAGGGAGCGCAGGCGGGAAGCCAAGUCAGCUGUGAAAACUACGGGCGUAACUUGGAGACUGCAGUUGAAACGGGUUUUCUUGAGUGAAGUAGUGGUUGGCGGACUUCCGCGUGUAGCGGUGA